GGUUCAAUGGUGUAGUUGGUUAUCACGUCUGUCUCACACUGCAACACUAGUUGAAGUCGUCGGUCACAGGAGGUCUCCGGUUCGAACCCGGGUUGAACCA
The sequence is a transfer RNA, 100 nucleotides long. It matches the Rfam family "tRNA". Rfam says of the family: Transfer RNA (tRNA) molecules are approximately 80 nucleotides in length. The record is from Rfam.